Oxyura jamaicensis (ruddy duck) is the source of this 1640-nucleotide long non-coding RNA. RefSeq lists it as uncharacterized. The record is from RefSeq and is a predicted model, not a curated record. Lineage: Eukaryota; Metazoa; Chordata; Aves; Anseriformes; Anatidae. The transcript has 2 exons.
AUUUUUUGACUUAGUUUCUGGGAAGCAAACAGUGCAAAUGUUCCAGAAUAUGCUUCUUGAAUUAAUGUGAAAAAUUCCUGGCAGGUUGGUGGCAUUCUUGGUGUGGUGUCUUGUGGCAGCAGUACCUCAGCAGGGAGAAUGGCUGGGACUGCAUACGGCUGAGUCCUGUUGGUCUGUUCCCUCAUCACUGCUCAGCUUGUAGGAUUCAGGUGUGUAGGCGUCAGGACCUUUUGGACUCUUUCUUACUCCCUCCUGUUUGACACACUCUUAUUGUGCCCUGACAGUUGCUUUCAGAGUAAGUUAUCACUCACUGCUUCUUUCUUGUCCUUUUAAUUUCCUUCCAGCAAAAUUCAGAGGCAAGGAUCUGACUAGGGUUUUACUGUCUUUGUUUUUGCUGCCUACGUAGCUGCAGAGCAGAGUGGUUAUUUCUAGGAAAAUGACAUUGCUGGGACUCAGAUCCUGAAGCACCUUCUGGCCCCAUACCCCUCAGAAGGUGAUGGACAAACUGCACUAAGAGACACCUGGUACCUUACAGUAUUGACAAGUUUUCCCUGGCACUUCUGUGGUGAGUUUUAGGUACGGUGCUUAAAGGUAAACAUUAACAGAUUGGUGAGGGCACAGUCCAGCUCCAGGCCAGGAAAGAUCUGUGGCAAUGACCUCCUCUCUAGUGAACAUGAGCUGUGAGGAACAGCUUAAGGAACUGCAGGAGCUGAGAGGACACAGUCUUUUUGCAUGUAGAGACUGCUGCAAAAGCAAUUAAGCUUACCUCUGCUCUGUUAUGGGGCAAGUUGCAAUGGGCUGAAGUUUGUGGCCAGGAGGGUUCAGGUAAAGUGGUAUAGAAAACUUGUGACGAAGUGAGGGAGUGCUAAAUAUAUUGCUGAGGUUGGCCAGAGAGCUUCUGUUUUGGGAAACCUCUGAGAACAGAUGAACAAGUGACUGUUGGUGGGGGUACAGUAGUGGUCCUCAAGCACAGGAAUGGGAGGGGCCCCAGGGAGUCACUCUCUCCUGGCCACUCCUUCUAUGAUAAGAAACAGCAGAAAGUAGUGUGAAAGGAAGACUGAGAUUGCAUCUACUUUUCACAAAAUACUGGCUACAGUAGUAGGCUACAGUAUCCCACAGAGUGGGUAAAUGAGAGCCAUAUUUGAUAUUAGUCAUAGGCUGUGAGGACAUAUAUACAGGUUUCAUAUCAGCAGUUAAGCCCAUGGAAAUUCCUGAUUUUUCAUGUAUUUUUGAAUUUGAAAGAGUAUCUGAGACCAGUUUUCUCUCUAACCUGAAUUAGGGCACAUGCUGGGGAUCUUGAACUGCCAUGCAAAUGGAAUAUAAACAUUCAGAGACAUGAUGAACAGGCAAUAGCAAAAGAUACCUGAUCCAGAAGAACUCUGGAGAAGUCUAGCCAUAAAAGUAUUCCUCCUUUAAGCAUUUGUGGAUGAAAAUGAAGUGAGUUGAAUGGACAUGAAGCAACACUGUUGCUUUGAAUCCAUGCAAGGAGCAGAUACAUUGCAGCACCUUUGGCUUUGCUACAUCCCUACAUGUUUAUGGUUACUGCUUUUAUAGCAGUGUUUUUAUCAGCCAUUGACUUUUUCAAAAUAAUUCAACAUACCAGACCUAAAUUAAAAAAAAAAAAAAAAAAGAGGCAAAAA